RNAcentral lists this ribosomal RNA (484 nucleotides) under uncultured bacterium. RNAcentral's name for it is "partial 16S ribosomal RNA". It matches the Rfam family "Bacterial small subunit ribosomal RNA", at positions 30 to 507 of the family's 1533-position model. The record is from RNAcentral.
AUUGAACGCUGGCGGCAGGCCUAACACAUGCAAGUCGAGCGGAUGAAGGGAGCUUGCUCCUGGAUUCAGCGGCGGACGGGUGAGUAAUGCCUAGGAAUCUGCCUGGUAGUGGGGGAUAACGUCCGGAAACGGGCGCUAAUACCGCAUACGUCCUGAGGGAGAAAGUGGGGGAUCUUCGGACCUCACGCUAUCGGAUGAGCCUAGGUCGGAUUAGCUAGUUGGUGGGGUAAAGGCCUACCAAGGCGACGAUCCGUAACUGGUCUGAGAGGAUGAUCAGUCACACUGGAACUGAUACACGGUCCAGACUCCUACGGGAGGCAGCAGUGGGGAAUAUUGGACAAUGGGCGAAAGCCGGAUCCAGCCAUGCCGCGUGUGUGAAGAAGGUCUUCGGAUUGUAAAGCACUUUAAGUUGGGAGGAAGGGCAGUAAGUUAAUACCUUGCUGUAUUGACGUUGCCAACAGAAUAAGCACCGGCUAACUUCGUG